AUUGAACGCUGGCGGCAGGCCUAACACAUGCAAGUCGAGCGGAGCGGCGGACGGGUGAGUAAUGCCUAGGAAUCUGCCUGGUAGUGGGGGAUAACGUCCGGAAACGGGCGCUAAUACCGCAUACUAUCAGAUGAGCCUAGGUCGGAUUAGCGAGUUGGUGGGGUAAAGGCCUACCAAGGCGACGAUCCGUAACUGGUCUGAGAGGAUGAUCAGUCAGAGUGGAACGGAGACACGGUAAAGACUCCUACGGGAGGCAGCAGUGGGGAGGAUUGGACAAUGGGCGAAAGCCUGGUCCAGCCAUGCGGCGUGUGUGAAGGAGGUCUGCGGAAUGUAAAGCACUUUAAGUUGGGAGGCGUUACCAACAGAGUAAGCACCGGCUAACUUCGGGCCAGCAGGCGCGGUAAUGC
This 407-nucleotide ribosomal RNA is filed under the name uncultured bacterium. RNAcentral describes it as "partial 16S ribosomal RNA". It matches the Rfam family "Bacterial small subunit ribosomal RNA", at positions 29 to 526 of the family's 1533-position model. The record is from RNAcentral.